AACGACGCUGGCGGCAGGCCUAACACAUGCAAGUCGAGCGCGUGUAGCAAUACACGAGCGGCGCACGGGUGAGUAACGCGUGGGAAUCUGCCCUACAGUGGGGAACAACCACGGGAAACUGUGGCUAAUACCGCAUACGUCCUUCGGGAGAAAGGCUUCGGCCGCUGUAGGAGGAGCCCGCGUCCGAUUAGCUAGUUGGUGAGGUAAUGGCUCACCAAGGCGACGAUCGGUAACUGGUCUGAGAGGACGACCAGUCACACUGGGACUGAGACACGGCCCAGACUCCUACGGGAGGCAGCAGUGGGGAGUAUUGGACAAUGGGGGAAACCCUGAUCCAGCCAUGCCGCGUGAGUGAUGAAGGCCUUCGGGUUGUAAAGCUCUUUUAGCGGGGAAGAUAAUGACGGUACCCGCAGAAUAAGCCCCGGCUAACUUCGUGCCAGCAGCCGCGGUAAGACGAAGGGGGCUAGCGUUGUUCGGAAUUACUGGGCGUAAAGGGCGCGCAGGCGGCUUUGCAAGUCAGGCGUUAAAGACCCAGGCUCAACCUGGGGAAUGCGCUUGAUACUGCAGAGCUUGAGAUCGGAAGAGGAGAGUGGAAUUCCCAGUGUAGAGGUGAAAUUCGUAGAUAUUGGGAAGAACACCAGUGGCGAAGGCGGCUCUCUGGUCCGAUUCUGACGC
Molecule: ribosomal RNA, 675 nt
Filed under: uncultured bacterium
Lineage: Bacteria
Description: bacterial SSU rRNA
Rfam family: Bacterial small subunit ribosomal RNA
Source: RNAcentral